RNAcentral lists this ribosomal RNA (497 nucleotides) under uncultured bacterium. Its description in RNAcentral is "partial 16S ribosomal RNA". It matches the Rfam family "Bacterial small subunit ribosomal RNA", at positions 28 to 507 of the family's 1533-position model. The record is from RNAcentral.
GAUGAACGCUGGCGGCGUGCCUAACACAUGCAAGUCGAACGAACAGACGAGGAUCUUGUGCCGCUGACGUUAGCGGCAGGCGGGAGAGUAACGCGUGUAUAACCUACUUGUAAUACGGGGAUAAUUACGGGAAACCGGAUCUAAUACCGUAGAAUAUAUUGAACCGCAGGGUUCAAUGGUGAAAGACGGCUUUGGGGGCACUUAUAGAUGGUUCCGCGCUGCAUUAGCUAGUUGGGAGGGUAACGGCCUACCAAGGCAACGAUGCGUGGACGAGGUGAUAGAGUGAUAGGCCACACUGGAACUGGGACACGGUCAAGACUCCUACGAGAGGCCGCAGUAGGGAACGUUCGGCAAUGGGCGAAAGCCUGGCGGAGCGACGGCGCGUGAGUGGUAAAGGCCUUCGGAUCGUAAAACCCUGUUAUUGGGUAAGAACAGCUGUCUACGUAAAUAUACCCGUAUUGACGGUAAUUAAUCAAAAAGCACCGGCUAACUACGUG